RNAcentral lists this long non-coding RNA (3625 nucleotides) under Sus scrofa (pig). Its description in RNAcentral is "lncRNA (ENSSSCG00025000236.1)". The record is from RNAcentral. Lineage: Eukaryota; Metazoa; Chordata; Mammalia; Artiodactyla; Suidae.
UGACAGCUACGUGGGUGACAGUGCUGAACUAGACCCCAGACCCCAGCUGUCACUUGCCCCUUGUGCUGGGACACCCAUCCCUCAUUGGAAUGAAUCAGUUAGAAGUGGGAGCACGUUUCUGUGCCCGUGGCUAUAGGGUUAAGAGGUUAUUUAUUUCACUCAUCUCUGGGUCAGUAGUUUUGGUCAGCAGAAAGGCUGAUCAGUAUCUCUGAGCACCAGCCUAAAUCCCAGCAGAUCACAGUAUGAAGCGCCUAAAUGGUCACAGUGGCUUACAUCACAAUGGGGUGGCCAGUAUGAAAGUCCAGACCACUGUUUAGGCCUAGCCUUACUUCUCCUGAGGGUAGGCAGUGGCUGGCUGGGUUUCUUUGUAUAGAGCUAGAAAAAGACGGGUGUUUUUCUUUCUUUCUUUCUGUCACGCUGAAUUCUUCCGCAGGGAAAUUAAUUUGUGUCUGUGGCAAAGGUAGUCAACAAUUCUCUCCUUUUGCAGGUCCCAGUUUGUUAAGGAAAUCGAAGGGUGUGAUCAACAGCUCGUGCACUGCCGUGCUGCGAACCCAGAGUUCAGGCACUGACGUGGCGCUUCUGAUGGGAGCAUGGACUCAGGUUACUUAGAAAUUCCAGGACCAGCUGCACUGCAUCCAUAGGCAGGUGGAGGGCCAUCCCCAUCACCAGCUCUACCAGUGCCACCUCUACUGACAGGAAUUGCUGCUUCUCCUCCUCCAACUCCUUUACCUCUACUAAACGGUGUAUACCAUAUCCACCACCUUUGUUUGGGGAUCUCCUGGUUGCAGAAAUAAAUACAUAAACCUGACCUCCAUGAAAUGACUCUUAAACUGCAUGACUUGAUUCUUCAUGAAGAGCAUCAAAUGGUCAAAGGCAAAACUCUGAUUUUAAAUGUUUUUGACAUUGUCUAGUCGCAGGUUGUCAUUAACAUGCAAUAACUGCAUAGAUGAGUACAAGUAUAAUUUUAGAGACUAUGACUGUUGAUGUUUACUUUCCUUUGUGAGCUCACCGUCUUACAUUCCUCUUUCAGUACAGUCUCAACAUGGUUAGCCUUUGGUAUCCAUGGCUAACUGGUUCCAGGACCACCUCUGUGGCUACCAUAAUCUGCAGAUGCUCACAUCCUUUAGUUGGCCCUUUGUUUCCACAGGUUCCCUAUUUGUGGAUGUGGAACCCAUGGACAAGGAGGGCUGAUGGUAAUCUAGUGUGUCCCCCUGGAAGCUGUCAGUUACUUAAAGUGUCACGAUGUGGUUCCUUAUGGGACUGCUAGAUGUCACGAGGAUGAAUCCUCAGACAAUCCUGCUAGAUUCUCAGUCACCAAAAAAUGCCUUAUAGGUGGAAGGAGCGAGUAUCCCUUCUUUUUAGAACUAAACAGAUUUCAGUCUCUCACUUAUUGUCAAACAGUUUGUUCAGACUGUAUAUAUAAAAAUCUUCCUAAUUUUAAGCCAAAUUAAAAAUGUUAGCCAAUCCUGGUCACUCUGAAGUCACCCUUAGACCGUCCCUACCUAAGAAAUUCCUCUUAGGUCCCUUUCACCUAGGAAAUGUACCACUAUCCUCUUAAAAUCUGAACAACUCUAAUAAUAAAAGUCAGAUGCAUCAACUUAAAGUACAGAGUGUUUCAGGUAUCAGGAGGAAUUCACCAAAGAACCUGAAGAAUGCCAAGAUGCCAGGGAAGCUCAAGAGGCCCAUGUUUGGUACCAAGCACUGGCUCGAAGUAGAUUUUAGGUCUCUGAUAUCCUGCUGACUAGGCCAAGCAAUGCCAACAUAAAUAAUAAAAACAAACAAACAAACAAAAAACAAAAAAAACCCAAUCUAUACUAGGGAAUAGAAAAGGAUUUUGAGCUCAGCUGAGGAAUAACCCAAGGAAUAACCCAGGAACACAGCCUCCUCCAAGGAAGAAAGCCCUCCAGAGAAGCAUGGUCUUCAGCACGAUUUUCUAUCUUGUCACAAUAAAGAACAUACAUCAAACAUUACAGAGGUACAUUCCUAGAAGGUUUCAACAGAGAUGUAGUUACAGAUGAACAUGUACACAGUGAGGUAGCAUGACCUUGGAAUCUGGGAAGGGAAAUUCACCUUUGAAAAAAUACUAGUAUUGGCAUGAUAGGAAGAGAGGUAUCACUCCUCAUUUUCAAAGUGAACAUACUUUAAUGGUUAAAGCUGAUAAACAGUGUAUGUUUGACAACCCAUAAGUUAGGUUGCUCUACUUCACAUGAAGUUCAAGACAAGUCAUGUAUAAGCCAGAAUGGCUCCCCCAUACCUGAAUAUGAAAAAAAAAUCUUUCCAUUUUUUUUUUUUUUUUUUUUAUGGUUGCACCAUAGCAUAUGGAAGUUCCCGGACCAGCGAUUGAAUCAACUGCAGCUUCAACCUACACCAAAGCUGCAGCAACGCUGGAUCAUUUAACCCACUGUGCCAGCCGGAACGAAUACACGCCUCUGCAGUAACCCAAGACACUGCAGUCGAAUUCUUAACCCGCUGCACCACAGUGGGAAAUCCUGUCGAUUCCUAUUUUAUUGAGUCUUGUCAUGGGUUUUUUUUUUCCUUUAUUCCAUUUAUGUGUAUAUUACAUAGACUAAUUUCCUAAUGUUCAUCCACCAUUACAUUCCCGAAAUUAAUCUGACUUGAUCCUGAUAAUACAUUAUCAGCUUAGGUUUUUCAGUAUUUUGUUGACAAGUUACAUGGGUAUAGUCAAACAAGAUACUGAUUUGUAGUUUUCUUGUGAUAUUUUUGCCUGGCUCUGGUAUGAGGAUAAUACUGAACACAGAGAAUAAGAAAGGAUGCUGUGAUAGUUAUGUGUCAACACGGCUAAGCCAUGAUACAGUGGGUUAAGAAUCCGACUACAGCAGCUCAGAUCUCUGUGGAGGCGUGGGUUUGAUACCCAGCCAACAAAGUGGGUUAAAGGCUCUAGCAUUUUCACAGCUAUACUGUAGGUCGCAGCCGUGGCUCAGUUUCAAUCCCUAGCCGGGGAACUUCAUUCUGCUGUGGGUAAAGCCAUAAAAUUAAAAAAAAAAAAACAAAACACUAAAUGUGAAGCGAAGGUAUAUUUUAGAUAAGAUUAACAAUUAAUUAAAGUACAGAAUACUAUCUAAAAUGUAAGUGGGCUUCAUGCAAUCAAUUGACAACCUUAACAGAAAAACGGGCACCAAAGGGAGAAGAAAUUUUACUUCCCACUGACUUACAACUGCAGCCACAUGAACUUUUUCAGAUUUCCAUCAUACGAGCCUGUUAUGCAGAUUUUGUACUUCCUAACCUCUGAUACCACAGAAGCCAAUUCCAUAAAGUAAACCUCCCCCCACCUCUGGACAAUAAUAUCCUCCAUUUCUCUGGACUUUAAUAUCCAGAUUUUCUUUAGAAAAUUUGAGAAUGAUUGGUGUGAAUUUUUCUAAGUGACUGCUGACAAUUUACGGAGGAAGAAAAUUAAUCAUUUGUAAUAGUUGCUAAGAUUUUUGAUUACUUAUACUGACAUCUAUAUAUCUUUAGAUGUUAUACAUCUUCUGAGUCACUAUUGUUAAUUUGUCAUCAAUUUAUAUUAUUUGUUGGGUAAGAUUAUCAUACUACACUUAUCCUAAAUUUCUGCUGGAUCAGGAGUGAUAUCACACUAAUAAUAAAUUAAGUAUUUACAAUUUUAAUA